Molecule: long non-coding RNA, 438 nt
Organism: Daphnia magna
Lineage: Eukaryota; Metazoa; Arthropoda; Branchiopoda; Diplostraca; Daphniidae
Exons: 3
Source: RefSeq, a predicted model, not a curated record
GUUUUAUUUUCUAUAAAUCAAACCAAAUAAACAUUCGCGCCGACGGAGAUGCUGUUUAGCAUCUCAUGUCAAAUAAACAUGCGCGCCGACGGAGAUGCUGUUUAGUAUCUCAUGUCAGUCUUCGUUGACUUUCAUUCGUCUGCUGUUCGGGUUCUCUGUGUUUAACUGUCAUCUGGUAAAGAGGUUAUGGGCCCAGGAUAUUCACGUGUUAUUUAAGUAUAUUCAUUCAUCAUGGCCGAAAGUCCCGAUAGACGACGUGACUAUGUCAAAUUCAAUGGAAUCAACUUUCCCCAAUGGAAAUUUGCUGUCAUGCUUAAGCUGAAGAAGAAAAAGCUUGACGGAAUAGUGCUUGGGACUGAAACAAGACCAGUUGAGGUGCCUGAAGAGAUAGAUGGAGUAAAUGUGGUGACUAAUCAGAAUGCAAUUGACUCAUGGAAC